CAUGCAAGUCGAACGAAGGCUUCGGCCUUAGUGGCGCACGGGUGCGUAACGCGUGGGAAUCUGCCCUCAGGUUCGGAAUAACAGCGAGAAAUUGCUGCUAAUACCGGAUGAUAUCGCGAGAUCAAAGAUUUAUCGCCUGAGGAUGAGCCUGCGUAGGAUUAGCUAGUUGGUGUGGUAAAGGCGCACCAAGGCGACGAUCCUUAGCUGGUCUGAGAGGAUGAUCAGCCACACUGGGACUGAGACACGGCCCAGACUCCUACGGGAGGCAGCAGUGGGGAAUAUUGGACAAUGGGCGAAAGCCUGAUCCAGCAAUGCCGCGUGAGUGAUGAAGGCCUAGGGUUGUAAAGCUCUUUUACCCGGGAUGAUAAUGACAGUACCGGGAGAAUAAGCUCCGGCUAACUCCGUGCCAGCAGCCGCGGUAAUACGGAGGGAGCUAGCGUUAUUCGGAAUUACUGGGCGUAAAGCGCACGUAGGCGGCUUUGUAAGUUUGAGGUGAAAGCCUGGAGCUCAACUCCAGAAUUGCCUUUAAGACUGCAUCGCUUGAAUCCAGGAGAGGUGAGUGGAAUUCCGAGUGUAGAGGUGAAAU
Molecule: ribosomal RNA, 586 nt
Filed under: Sphingomonas melonis
Lineage: Bacteria; Pseudomonadati; Pseudomonadota; Alphaproteobacteria; Sphingomonadales; Sphingomonadaceae
Description: bacterial SSU rRNA
Rfam family: Bacterial small subunit ribosomal RNA
Source: RNAcentral